RNAcentral lists this ribosomal RNA (510 nucleotides) under uncultured bacterium. RNAcentral's name for it is "partial 16S ribosomal RNA". It matches the Rfam family "Bacterial small subunit ribosomal RNA", at positions 28 to 523 of the family's 1533-position model. The record is from RNAcentral.
GACGAACGCUGGCGGCGUGCCUAAUACAUGCAAGUCGAGCGAAUGACGAGAAGCUUGCUUCUCUGAUUUAGCGGCGGAGGGGUGAGUAACACGUGGGCAACCUGCCCUACAGAUCGGGAUAACUCAGGGAAACCUGGGCUAAUACCGGAUAAUCAUUCGAAUCAGAGGUUUUGAAGUUGAAAGGCGCUUCGGCGGCACUGUAGGAUGGGCACGCGGUGCAUUAGCUAGUUGGUGGGGUAACGGCCUACCAAGGCAACGAUGCAUAGCCGACCUGAGAGGGUGAGCGGCCACAUUGGGACUGAGACACGGCCCAAACUCCUACGGGAGGCAGCAGUAGGGAAUCUUCCACAAUGGACGAAAGUCUGAUGGAGCAACGCCGCGUGAGUGAUGAAGGUUUUCGGAUCGUAAAACUCUGUUGUAAGGGAAGAACAAGUACGUUAGGAAAUGAACGUACCUUGACGGUACCUUAUUAGAAAGCCACGGCUAACUACGUGCCAGCAGCCGCCGUAA